This 395-nucleotide unclassified non-coding RNA is filed under the name soil metagenome. RNAcentral describes it as "partial contains 5.8S ribosomal RNA, internal transcribed spacer 2, and large subunit ribosomal RNA". The stretch from base 1 to 122 matches the Rfam family "5.8S ribosomal RNA", at positions 35 to 154 of the family's 154-position model. The record is from RNAcentral.
GAUGAAGAACGUAGCGAAAUGCGAUACUUGGUGUGAAUUGCAGAAUCCCGUGAACCAUCGAGUCUUUGAACGCAAGUUGCGCCCGAAGCCAUCAGGUUGAGGGCACGUCUGCCUGGGCGUCACAUAUCGUUGCCCAAUGCCUAUUGCAGUGCAAUAGGAAUUUCUAGGGCGAAUGAUGGCUUCCCGUGAGCGUUGUUGCCUCGAGGUUGGUUGAAAAUCGAGUCCUUGGUAGGGUGUGCCAUGGUAGAUGGUGGUCGAGUUAGAACGAUACCGAUCAUGUGCAUGCUCCCCAAAAUAUGGCCUCUAUGACCCACACGCGUCUUUUGACGCUCAUGACGAGACCUCAGGUCAGGCGGGGCUACCCGCUGAAUUUAAGCAUAUCAAUAAGCGGAGGA